This is a small nucleolar RNA of Chanos chanos (milkfish), 76 nucleotides long. RefSeq annotates it as small nucleolar RNA SNORD61. The transcript has a single exon. NCBI's taxonomy places the organism in Eukaryota, Metazoa, Chordata, Actinopteri, Gonorynchiformes, Chanidae. The record is from RefSeq and is a predicted model, not a curated record.
GCUAUGAUGAAACUCUUGGAUACUGAUCGGCAAUGUGCUGAAAUUUCAAACCAUUCCUCUAAGAAGUUCUGAGCUC